RNAcentral lists this long non-coding RNA (528 nucleotides) under Heterocephalus glaber (naked mole-rat). RNAcentral's name for it is "lncRNA (ENSHGLG00000034989.1)". The record is from RNAcentral. Lineage: Eukaryota; Metazoa; Chordata; Mammalia; Rodentia; Bathyergidae.
CUUGGAGUCUGUGCAGAGACAACUUGCUGCUGCUCUGUCCUGGGAACCUGAGAGUCUUCUGAGGGAUCUGAUAUACUGUACUAGAGGCUGAACUAAGCCGCCUAUCUCCUGGAGCUCUUCGGAAGUGGCUGCUGUGGAUGGCCCAGAUGUAGCCCUGUGGCUGGAGCCCGGUCUUGGCACAAUUUCCUGGACCACAAAUGGCUUUCCUGAGAGCAAGUUCUUCAGCUUGCACUCAGGGAUGAGUAGCUGGAGACAUUUCCCCCCUGAUCAUAAGGUUCCUGAAUGGUAUUUAUACUUUAUACCACAAAAUUUUGUUAAGGGAUAGCCUGUUUUGAGUUUUACUAUGCAGAAAACAAUCUCAAGUACUGAUUACACUGUUUAUCCUACUUUGUAGGCCCAGUUGAAGUGAUAUCUGUUAUAUAUAGGCCUACUUAAGUCUCUACCCCCGCCCCAGGCUCUAUUACAUUUCAUUUCACACCAAAUUAUCAAUAUUUGUUAGUGUAUCUAUCCCUUUGGGUAAAUCUGGAG